UGGGGAAUUUUGGACAAUGGGCGCAAGCCUGAUCCAGCCAUGCCGCGUGCGGGAGGAAGGCCUUCGGGUUGUAAACCGCUUUUGUCAGGGAAGAAAUCUUCUGAGUUAAUACCUCGGGAGGAUGACGGUACCUGAAGAAUAAGCACCGGCUAACUACGUGCCAGCAGCCGCGGUAAUACGUAGGGUGCAAGCGUUAAUCGGAAUUACUGGGCGUAAAGCGUGCGCAGGCGGUUUUGUAAGACAGAGGUGAAAUCCCCGGGCUCAACCUGGGAACUGCCUUUGUGACUGCAAGGCUUGAGUGCGGCAGAGGGGGAUGGAAUUCCGCGUGUAGCAGUGAAAUGCGUAGAUAUGCGGAGGAACACCGAUGGCGAAGGCAAUCCCCUGGGCCUGCACUGACGCUCAUGCACGAAAGCGUGGGGAGCAAACAGGAUUAGAUACCCUGGUAGUCCACGCCCUAAACGAUGUCAACUGGUUGUUGGGAAGGUUCCUUCUCAGUAACGUAGCUAACGCGUGAAGUUGA
RNAcentral lists this ribosomal RNA (520 nucleotides) under uncultured bacterium. Its description in RNAcentral is "partial 16S ribosomal RNA". It matches the Rfam family "Bacterial small subunit ribosomal RNA", at positions 355 to 868 of the family's 1533-position model. The record is from RNAcentral.